RNAcentral lists this ribosomal RNA (532 nucleotides) under Streptomyces sp. C11(2006). RNAcentral's name for it is "bacterial SSU rRNA". It matches the Rfam family "Bacterial small subunit ribosomal RNA", at positions 82 to 628 of the family's 1533-position model. Lineage: Bacteria; Bacillati; Actinomycetota; Actinomycetes; Kitasatosporales; Streptomycetaceae. The record is from RNAcentral.
CGGUGGUGGAUUAGUGGCGAACGGGUGAGUAACACGUGGGCAAUCUGCCCUUCACUCUGGGACAAGCCCUGGAAACGGGGUCUAAUACCGGAUAAUACUCCUGCCUGCAUGGGUGGGGGUUGAAAGCUCCGGCGGUGAAGGAUGAGCCCGCGGCCUAUCAGCUUGUUGGUGGGGUAAUGGCCUACCAAGGCGACGACGGGUAGCCGGCCUGAGAGGGCGACCGGCCACACUGGGACUGAGACACGGCCCAGACUCCUACGGGAGGCAGCAGUGGGGAAUAUUGCACAAUGGGCGAAAGCCUGAUGCAGCGACGCCGCGUGAGGGAUGACGGCCUUCGGGUUGUAAACCUCUUUCAGCAGGGAAGAAGCGCAAGUGACGGUACCUGCAGAAGAAGCGCCGGCUAACUACGUGCCAGCAGCCGCGGUAAUACGUAGGGCGCAAGCGUUGUCCGGAAUUAUUGGGCGUAAAGAGCUCGUAGGCGGCUUGUCACGUCGGAUGUGAAAGCCCGGGGCUUAACCCCGGGUCUGCAUUC